Molecule: ribosomal RNA, 1378 nt
Filed under: Staphylococcus sp. S5-1-2WY
Lineage: Bacteria; Bacillati; Bacillota; Bacilli; Caryophanales; Staphylococcaceae
Description: bacterial SSU rRNA
Rfam family: Bacterial small subunit ribosomal RNA
Source: RNAcentral
GGAUGAACGCUGGCGGCGUGCCUAAUACAUGCAAGUCGAGCGAACAGACAAGGAGCUUGCUCCUUUGACGUUAGCGGCGGACGGGUGAGUAACACGUGGGUAACCUACCUAUAAGACUGGGAUAACUUCGGGAAACCGGAGCUAAUACCGGAUAAUAUUUCGAACCGCAUGGUUCGAUAGUGAAAGAUGGUUUUGCUAUCACUUAUAGAUGGACCCGCGCCGUAUUAGCUAGUUGGUAAGGUAACGGCUUACCAAGGCGACGAUACGUAGCCGACCUGAGAGGGUGAUCGGCCACACUGGAACUGAGACACGGUCCAGACUCCUACGGGAGGCAGCAGUAGGGAAUCUUCCGCAAUGGGCGAAAGCCUGACGGAGCAACGCCGCGUGAGUGAUGAAGGUCUUCGGAUCGUAAAACUCUGUUAUUAGGGAAGAACAUACGUGUAAGUAACUAUGCACGUCUUGACGGUACCUAAUCAGAAAGCCACGGCUAACUACGUGCCAGCAGCCGCGGUAAUACGUAGGUGGCAAGCGUUAUCCGGAAUUAUUGGGCGUAAAGCGCGCGUAGGCGGUUUUUUAAGUCUGAUGUGAAAGCCCACGGCUCAACCGUGGGAGGGUCAUUGGGAAACUGGAAAACUUGAGUGCAGAAGAGGAAAGUGGAAUUUCCAUGUGUAGCGGUGAAAUGCGCAGAGAUAUGGAGGAACACCAGUGGCGAAGGCGACUUUCUGGUCUGUAACUGACGCUGAUGUGCGAAAGCGUGGGGAUCAAACAGGAUUAGAUACCCUGGUAGUCCACGCCGUAAACGAUGAGUGCUAAGUGUUAGGGGGUUUCCGCCCCUUAGUGCUGCAGCUAACGCAUUAAGCACUCCGCCUGGGGAGUACGACCGCAAGGUUGAAACUCAAAGGAAUUGACGGGGACCCGCACAAGCGGUGGAGCAUGUGGUUUAAUUCGAAGCAACGCGAAGAACCUUACCAAAUCUUGACAUCCUUUGACAACUCUAGAGAUAGAGCCUUCCCCUUCGGGGGACAAAGUGACAGGUGGUGCAUGGUUGUCGUCAGCUCGUGUCGUGAGAUGUUGGGUUAAGUCCCGCAACGAGCGCAACCCUUAAGCUUAGUUGCCAUCAUUAAGUUGGGCACUCUAAGUUGACUGCCGGUGACAAACCGGAGGAAGGUGGGGAUGACGUCAAAUCAUCAUGCCCCUUAUGAUUUGGGCUACACACGUGCUACAAUGGACAAUACAAAGGGCAGCGAAACCGCGAGGUCAAGCAAAUCCCAUAAAGUUGUUCUCAGUUCGGAUUGUAGUCUGCAACUCGACUACAUGAAGCUGGAAUCGCUAGUAAUCGUAGAUCAGCAUGCUACGGUGAAUACGUUCCCGGGUCUUG